GCCACCCUGCAGAGCAGCCCAGAACCCACAGGAAACAGACAUCUCCUCCAGACCUUCCAGACCACAGGCGACCUCACAGUGGCCCAGGUGGCCCAGGGAGGAGAGAGGUGCAGGGAGAGAAGCUGAGCAAGGACAGAGCCAGAGACCCAACAUCUAAGUCACCAGCAGGCAGUGGUAGGUGGAAGAGGCAGAGGGUAUCUGAUUUUAUCUUAUGGCCUCAGAAAAAUUCCUCUGGAGUCUAGGUCAAGCAAAGGAAGGAAACACUGAAAAGAAUGAUCAUUACAUUGCUUAAGAACUACCCUGGCCACCUUAAUAUUCCAUCAGAAGAGUGAAGUUAACUAGAAGAAAAGCCCCAAUGCAAUAAACGGAAUCACAGAUGAAAAGAUGUUUGUUUGACCCAGUUCUGGUAACCUCAGGCUCCUGACCCCACCAUCAAGGUGAAAGAGACUCCCAGACCAGCCUUUUGUCUAACGGCCACAUACAAAGGGAAACCCAAGCCGAGAGUGGACAACACACAGCUGGUGUGGAUGGAGGAGGGUUGAGGCAGGUUGAAGGAAGAGUCUCCAGGACUGAGGAGGAGCUCCUGGGCUGGGGUAACGUGUGCCUACCUUGGCCUGGCUCUUGUUGUUUUCACCAGCCCUGCCUGCACCUUAGAAUGAGCCAGCUCUAGGGAUGGGCUUCUGUUUGGGCUGGGUGGGAGGUGCUUUCAGUGUUUUCCAACUGCAGUUGCCUUUGGGGAAUGGGAAAGAGUGAGUCAGACACAGUUAUUUGAACCUAGGACCCCCAGCCUGAACUCUGAAGAGACAGGAAGGCACAUGGGUUAGUCACUGUGUUUCUGUGGGCCAUGUUGGGGUUGGAGCCUGCUCACAUGUUUUGCCAUCACCAGCUGUUCCAUGGGUGGGACAGGAUGCUUGGGAGCAAGGGCUUCCAUGGACUUGCCCCGGGCCAGCCAAGCACCCCAGCCUGGAAUGCUCUUCAAGGCCUCUGAAGACCACAGCUCCCCACAGCUCUGGACAAGAGAUGAGAGGUGGGGGGCGGGGAAAGGCCAGCCAAGAAGGGACUCACAGAGCUCCUCACGGUCAGAUUUAGGCCAAUUGGCUGGUCUAGAACAAGUGGACAAGGGGACUUGUGCUGCUCCUUCUGGGCACAUGGAAGGUGGAAUCCUCAGGUUGGCCUUUCACAUGGGAGAUCAAGAACCUGAAAGUGUAUUCACACUGUUUGAAGUAGCUGUUCCACUCUGAGAACUGACUGUAAAUAAUUACUUCCAGAUUUGAAAAAAAUAAACUACCCAAAGAUGG
This is a long non-coding RNA of Odocoileus virginianus texanus, 1298 nucleotides long. RefSeq lists it as uncharacterized. Lineage: Eukaryota; Metazoa; Chordata; Mammalia; Artiodactyla; Cervidae. The record is from RefSeq and is a predicted model, not a curated record.